GCCAGGUGUGGUGGUGCACACCUGUAAUCCCAGCAGCUUGGGAGGCUGAAACAGGAGGAUCACAAGUCCAAAGCCAGCCUCAGCAAAAGCGAGAUGCUAAGCAACACAGUGAGACCCUGUCUCUA
Molecule: small RNA, 125 nt
Filed under: Marmota monax (woodchuck)
Lineage: Eukaryota; Metazoa; Chordata; Mammalia; Rodentia; Sciuridae
Source: RNAcentral